RNAcentral lists this ribosomal RNA (253 nucleotides) under uncultured bacterium. RNAcentral describes it as "partial 16S ribosomal RNA". It matches the Rfam family "Bacterial small subunit ribosomal RNA", at positions 524 to 776 of the family's 1533-position model. The record is from RNAcentral.
UACAGAGGUCUCAACCGUUGUUCGGAUUCAUUGGGCGUAAAGGGUGCGUAGGCGGUCGUGCAAGUCGGAUGUGAAAUCUUAGGGCUCAACCCUGAAACUGCAUUCGAUACUGCGCGGCUAGAGUGCUGGAGGGGAGACUGGAAUUUACGGUGUAGCAGUGAAAUGCGUAGAUAUCGUAAGGAAGACCAGUGGCGAAGGCGAGUCUCUGGACAGCAACUGACGCUGAGGCACGAAGGCCAGGGGAGCAAACGGG